UUUUGAUUGGCCGAAUCCUUUUUCUUUUUUUUUCCUCGAAAGGCGCCCAAAACCAAAAGUCAAACAAGCCGGACGACAGGAGAAAGAGAAGAGAGCGCGGCGCCUGUGGGUUUGCCCCGUGCACGGCGACCCUUUGGCGCUCGGCCGAAAAACAAGAAGGAAAAGCAGAGGGACUGUGGUUGCUGCGCUCGCCGGGCCGGCGCGAGACCCCAACCGCGCACUCUUUGUCUGUCCAGAGAGACGAGCCAAAAAGGUGCCGAGUAAAAAGAGGAGGAAAGAAGAAACAAAAACACCAGGCCGGCGGCUUUGUUCUUUUUCCUGGGGCCUCGCUUGCGCUCAUGUCCCAAGGGCAAAGUUCACCACUC
RNAcentral lists this long non-coding RNA (365 nucleotides) under Pandoravirus dulcis. RNAcentral describes it as "putative ncRNA". The record is from RNAcentral.